RNAcentral lists this unclassified non-coding RNA (332 nucleotides) under soil metagenome. RNAcentral's name for it is "partial contains 5.8S ribosomal RNA, internal transcribed spacer 2, and large subunit ribosomal RNA". The stretch from base 1 to 120 matches the Rfam family "5.8S ribosomal RNA", at positions 35 to 154 of the family's 154-position model. The record is from RNAcentral.
GAUGAAGAACGCAGCGAAAUGCGAUACGUAGUGUGAAUUGCAGAAUUCAGUGAAUCAUCGAAUCUUUGAACGCACAUUGCGCCCCCUGGUAUUCCGGGGGGCAUGCCUGUUCGAGCGUCAUUUCACCACUCAAGCCUCGCUUGGUAUUGGGCGACGCGGUCCGCCGCGCGCCUCAAAUCGACCGGCUGGGUCUUUCGUCCCCUCAGCGUUGUGGAAACUAUUCGCUAAAGGGUGCCGCGGGAGGCCACGCCGUAAAACAACCCCAUUUCUAAGGUUGACCUCGGAUCAGGUAGGGAUACCCGCUGAACUUAAGCAUAUCAAUAAGCGGAGGA